GGAGCAGCGUGAGAAGGAAGAAGCAAAAAUACUCCAAAGGUUUCAUCUCUUGAGGAGAGUGGGGAAGAAAUCACCGGAGAAGUCUUCUUCAGGAACGUAAUUUGGCAAUUAAAAGAGAUGAAGCACGGAUACAUGCUACACCAUGGAUGAACCUUUGCAGUGAAUUGAGUGUGGCCCCCAAGAAGAUUGUUCACGUCUUAACUUCUGGAACCUGCGACUGUUCGAUGAACUCCAAAACAGUGCUUCUCAAACUGUGAUGUGCAAUUCACCCACGAUCUUGUUAAAAUGCACAUUCCGGCUCAGUAUGUUUGAGGCAGACCUUGAGAUGCUGCAUUUCCAACAAGCUCCCAGGCGAUGCUGCUGUGGCUGGUCCAUGGGUCACACUUCGUGCUGCAAGGAUCUAAAGGCAAAUCGUACUAGUCUAUGCAGGCUGUGAACUCAGGGAAUUAACUGGAGGACAAUGAAGGGCAAACCCAAUGGAAUCAAAGGGACGUCAAAAUCCAAAAUCCAAG
RNAcentral lists this long non-coding RNA (512 nucleotides) under Equus caballus (horse). RNAcentral's name for it is "lncRNA (ENSECAG00000045165.1)". The record is from RNAcentral. Lineage: Eukaryota; Metazoa; Chordata; Mammalia; Perissodactyla; Equidae.